This 113-nucleotide non-coding RNA is filed under the name uncultured eukaryote. The record is from RNAcentral.
AUGUGCAAGUAAAAUCCAAACAUGUUAUCUUUUUUUUUUCUUAAUUUUAUUGUCUUUUAAUUUUAUAUUGAAAACAAAAAAAAUUUGAUAAAAUUAGUGGCAUCAUUUACUGU